AGGAGAAAAGGAAGAAGAAAGCUUGGGGUGUCCAUCAACCUUUGCUUGAGCUUGAAAAAAAGAGAAGAUUUGGUGGAUUGAAUUGAGUUUCAUCUUGGUUGGAAGGCCAAAGAGGUAAAAUGUUAGAUUGUCCUUCUUUGUUUACUUUAUGUUGGAAACAAGUUGGAUUUUUGGAUUUUAGGCAUGAUUUGAUGGUGAAUCUUGGAAGUUCAUGAGUUGAUGAUUAUUAUACUUCAUACUUGAGUUCUAGGGUUUGAUUAUGCAUAUGAUUAUGGUGGUUAUCUUGUUGUAAUUUUGGCUACAUAUAUGUCUAUUGUUGUGUUGGUGAUGAAACCCUAUGGAAUUACUAGAUGAUUUGGGCUGAAUUUGGGACAAUUAGUGGAAAAAUUUUCUGUUUGCUGGCCGAAUGGAAGGGCUACAGUUGUGACCUUGGUUUCGAAAUUUUCAUGAUGAUUUUAAGCUUGAUUUUGAUCAAGAUACUCUAUACUACUUUAAGCUACAAGGGUGUGCUGAAAUUUGAUCAAAAUCAUGAACUUUAAGUGGCUUAAACCUCACAUUUUUUACCAAAACCAUGGCUGGAAUUUGUUCAAGCUGGCCGAAUGAGAGGAAGAGAAUUUUACUAGCUUUACACUUGAUUUUUGGUGGUAAAAUUUUCUUGUUAAGGCCUAGACACUUGAAAAUACUUGAGUAGACACCAAAAUUUUACCAUUUUUUUUUGUUCAUUUUAGUUAAAUUUUAUUUUAAUUUUAUUUUAAUUUAUUUUGUUUCUUGAGAAAGCAUUUUAGAAAAAUCGAAAAAGAAAAGGAAGGAAAAUAAAAGCAGAAAACAAAAGAAAAAAAUUAAAUCAAAAUCUAUUUUUUAUUAAAAAAAAAUCUCUUUCACUGCACGUGCGCGUCUUCUCCUUCAAAACUGGUACAAAAACCAAUAAUGGAGCAGUACAGAUUGCAGCUCCAUUCCAGCACCUUUAGCACUCAUUUUUUUAAAUUUUUUUGGCUCCAUUGGAUCACUCUAGUACAAGCCAUCUGGCCUUAAUCCAGAAACCUCAGAUUCUUAUGUAACAAGAGCCAUCUAAGGGCUCAAAAUAGCCACAAGAAAAGGCGGCAAACCUGCACCAUUAGAUGCUAGGGUUGGAGGGAUUUUUGUAACUAUAAAAGGCUGAGAAACUCAGCCUUGAAGAAUGUAGAUUGAAGGGGAGGCGGUGGAGAGAAAAGAGAGAAAAAAAGGGAAACCAAAAGAGAGAGGAAAAGGAGAGAGAAAUGGAGAAAAUUUUGCAGAAAAAUUUUCGCAAAAAGAGCUGAUUUUCAGCCAUUUUUCGACUCAAAUAUAUCCUCCAUUUUAGCUUCGUUUAAGAAACUUUCGAUUUCUGCUAAGUCUGCGAAGUGAGGGGAGCGACUUUUGUUCAGAAACUUGGUGGAGAAAAUGACUGAAAGUCCUUUGAAUCCGGCUCCAAAAUCACUGCUUCAACAUAUUCGGCUCAACCCGCAACCUAGCGUAGAACUUCAUCAAAUCUACUUCCUCCUGCGUCUUGCUCGCUCAAAUCCGGUCCUAAAAGCUUCCUCAGGUACCCUCCUAGAUUGAUGACUUAGUUCUUUUCAUUUUUAUUCGUUGUUGGGCUAUGCUUUUGGGUUUCUUGAUCGCUGCCGUUACUUGCUCUUUCUUGCUAUUUCCAUUCAUGAAUAGUGAGAUGAAGAUUUCCCCCAUGUUUGCUUGUGUUUAAAUGUGGCGUUUGUGUAAAUGAGAUUUGGAUGUUGUUGGGGGUAUCAUUAUUUUUUCAUUUUUGCUUCUGGACAUGUAUAUUUGGCAGAGUUUCUUGCCGGAAAUGGAAACCUAGCAAAGUUACAGAAGUAGGAAUAAUAGAGUUGUGAGGAAGAAAGCUUUCUUCGAUUGGCUUUGAUUGAGCAUUUUCAAAAAUUGCAUUUUAGCCCCUCAAGUUUUACAUAAUGUUGAUAUGGCCCAAAAACCUCUGCAAAUGAACCAUUUUGACCCCUAUUAAGUUUUAAUCAUCUUUUUACAUUUUUAAAUAGGUUUUCUGGGCAGAAUAAUUCUGGUUUAGAACAUAAUUAGGAUUAAAUAAUUUUUAGUUGAUUUUUAUCAUUAUGGAUUUUAGUGAAAUAGAUAGUUUGGGUUAUAGGGUUACUUUUGUUUGGGUUUAGGGGAAUGGGCUAUUGGUUUAGAUUUCUGGAUUUUAGCAUGGGUUUGGGGGUUAAAGCCCAUGCAAUUUUUAUCGGGUUUGCUUGAUAAAAAUGAUAGUCUGGCCUGCAUAUUUUUGUUGGACACUUGUUGGGUUUAGGAAGCUUUGACCCAAGAAGAAAUAAUAAAAGGGCCCAGGUGCCUGUUUGCUCAAGUAAUCUAGUAACAAACUUUGGAGAAUGGUCCCUGUACUUUUCAUUAAUCAUAAUAUAGCCCUAAAAAUUUUAACUUUCUUUCAAUUAGGUCCCUUUUUUAAUUGCAAAUAGGUCCCUGUACUUAAUUUGUCUUUCAUUUUGACCCCUAAUUUUUGUAAUUAUUAUAAUUUGACUGCAAACUUUCUCAAUUUUGUAAUUAAGUCCCUAGCAGUUUUGAUUUCUUAAAUACAAGUUGCUUUUCUUCUUUAAUUGUUAAUUAUGCUUCAUUUAAGUGAUGUAGUUGGUAGAUUUCAUGAUUAAUUUCAUUUCUUUAUGAUUAAAUUGGUGCCUUGAUAAUUUUGUUAAUUUUGGAGUUAAAUAGGGCAAAUCCAACCCCCAUUAGCUAUUACUUCAAAGGGAGGUAUCCUCUUGUGUUAUUUUUAAAUUCUCUUAUGUGCUCUUAUGUGAUUUUAUGUGUGUAAUUGCAUGUUUUUUUGAAUGUUUUUAUUUUAUUUUAUUUUAUUUAUUUAUUCACUUUAUUUGUUUUUUUUUUAAAUUUUGUAUAUUUAUUUUAAUUUAAUUUCUGAUUAUUUGAGAGGCAUUUAAAUACCAAAUUAUAAUAGAUAGAGGGUUCAAGACAUGUAUUUAGUUAGUUUAUGUAAUAGAUAGGAUUUAAUUCUUGUUAAAAAUGUAUUUAGUUAGAUAAGUGUAAUAGUUAGAAUAUUAUUUUAUUUUUCCCCCCUAUAUUGUAGUUAAGGCUCCCGAAUGUAAUAGUUAGGUUUCUAUUUGCUUUUAUUUGCUUGUGCGCUUGCAUGCUUGUGUGUUUGCAUGUUUACUCACUUUCUUAGGGUAUUUGCAUGUAGAUAUCAUGUUUAUAUGCUAUGUGCUCUAUGUAAUUCAUGUGUUUACUUGCUUUUAUUAUAUUUUAUAUGAUUUAUUUAAAUAUAAUAAAUGCAUGACGUCACCAUACUAGUCCAACGCUAGUUGUGGCCCUUUGUUCCGAUUUCUCAUUAGUCCAACGCAAGUGAGAACUAAUAAAUAUGGGCUAGUCCAACGCUAGACCUUUAGGAACCGUCCAUGCUCUAGAUCAUGGUUGCGUGAUAAUCACUAUACUUCAUGUGAGAACUUGUAAAAUCCCUUAUAUUUUUCUUAAAAUUUCCUUUAAUUUGGAAAUUAUUAAUUUACAAUAGCUUUACUACUCAUUCAUUUUCCCAAUAGUUACAAAUAAUCAUAGAAACAAGGGUUUCCCUUUUACUUUCAUCUUUAAGAUAAACUAGGGUUUUACGUCUUUCCGUAAUGUGAGUAAUCGGUGCAGAGUGUGUACUCAAUUUAGUG
RNAcentral lists this long non-coding RNA (3659 nucleotides) under Coffea arabica (coffee). RNAcentral describes it as "long non-coding RNA (CARA_LNC003289)". The record is from RNAcentral. Lineage: Eukaryota; Viridiplantae; Streptophyta; Magnoliopsida; Gentianales; Rubiaceae.